This 253-nucleotide ribosomal RNA is filed under the name uncultured bacterium. RNAcentral's name for it is "partial 16S ribosomal RNA". It matches the Rfam family "Bacterial small subunit ribosomal RNA", at positions 524 to 776 of the family's 1533-position model. The record is from RNAcentral.
UACGUAGGGUGCGAGCGUUGUCCGGAAUUACUGGGCGUAAAGAGCUCGUAGGUGGUUUGUCGCGUUGUUCGUGAAAACCGGGGGCUUAACCCUCGGCGUGCGGGCGAUACGGGCAGACUGGAGUACUGCAGGGGAGACUGGAAUUCCUGGUGUAGCGGUGGAAUGCGCAGAUAUCAGGAGGAACACCGGUGGCGAAGGCGGGUCUCUGGGCAGUAACCGACGCUGAGGAGCGAAAGCGUGGGGAGCGAACAGG